Long non-coding RNA from Musa acuminata AAA Group (dessert banana), 2662 nucleotides. RefSeq lists it as uncharacterized. The transcript is spliced from 2 exons. NCBI's taxonomy places the organism in Eukaryota, Viridiplantae, Streptophyta, Magnoliopsida, Zingiberales, Musaceae. The record is from RefSeq and is a predicted model, not a curated record.
GAGAGAGAGAGAGAGAGAAGUCACAACCCGCAACAUCUUGAUGUUUUCGCCGCUCGCCGUCGGCUUCCUACGUGCUCGUCGUCUCUGCAUUCCCCGAUCGAUUCCUUCGCUUUCUGUUCUUCCGCGUCCCUCCUCUUCUCCUUCUCGAUUGUAGGGCUUCGAUCGUUGGGAGCUCUGGAGGCGCGAAGAUGAAGAUCGAUUGCACAUUGGGCCCGUUCCUGAGGGAGGGGAAGACCUCGAGACCCUGGACGACUUGCGAACGUCCAUGGAGAACGCCGGCAUCCUCUUCGCUGUCAUGCUCGACAACAAGUUGACAGUACUGGUUGCUCCUGGUGCCUUUUACUGUUGCUCAGAAAUCUAAAGUGCAUGAGAUGGGAUUGAGGUAAAGAACUCAUCUUUUUUGCAUAAUCAGUGUCUGAUAUUGGGUUUCAUCUGGGAAUUUGGCCUUUUAGAUGUUUAUUUGAUGUCGAUGCUGAGUUUGUCAUUUCUUUCCUUUCUUUUUCUUUAUGCUAUUGAGGCUGAUGUUUAUGAUUUGGCAAUGUCAAAACUCUUAAUGAACCAUAGAGAAAACUCUGGAGGCACUUUGGAAAACUGACAUGGUUUUGAUAAAUUCAGCUUGAUGGUUUUACAGGGCAUUCAUGCAUUUUGAUGACUUGUAUGCAUCUAUUUAACUUAUGUGAUUCAUCUCUUAAAGGAGACUUUUCCCCUGUUUUUGCUGUAUAUGGUUUGGCAUGAGACAACAUUUGAUCAAACAUCGAUGUUAAGAUAUCAGAAUGUUCUUCUAAAAAUGACAUAAACUGCAAUGGAAGUAAUCGACUAUAUACUUGGUUUGCAUUUCUCUCUACGAAAAUUUGGCAUCCUAUCUUCCAGUUGACCUAAAAGACCUCGGACUUCAUUUGUUUUGGAUGUCAAGGAAGAGUAUCAUUUAUCUCAGUGGUCUGGUCUAUGGAUGUUAACAGAACUGAAUGACAUUUUGAAGUAGUCAAACGGUUCCAUAUUUCAUGUCAUGAGACUGACUAGCCUUGGUUGUUGAUGUCAUAGAUUAGGAGGUCUUAGAGAUCCGCAAUUCUAAACUUUGUACGAGGUAAACUAGCAUACAAUUAGUGGGAAUUGAUUGUUGAAUCAAGAUAUAUUUUUUAACACUGGACUUGAUGAACUUAGGUUUUACAUAAAUUCUGUUUGAAGUAUAGAACCAGCAGUAUCCCAACAAUAUGGGACUGACUACAUGAUGUUUUUUCUGUCCUUGAACUUAGGAUACUACCCCUAAGAAUUUGGUUAAGAGAGUGAUUUAAGGUGAAGUCAGGAUUUGAUUCUGAGUUGCCAUCAUUUCCAUGCAUUUCCAAGACUCAGAAUAACUAAAGAAAGAACAUAACUAGGCAGUAGCACUAACCAAAUAAAACAAAGAACUUGAUAUUCUAUAGUGUUCCUUAUAGUCUGGCAUCAUUUCGACGAAUGUAGUAUAUUUUUCUUAAGAAGCUUGAGCAAGAAACAGGGCAGUGGCUUGCCACUUGAGACCUUCUGCCUGACGCAUACACCAUAUGACGCUGGUUUCUCAUGAUUUUAAAUAAGGAGAGAAGAAACAGGACAGUGGCUUGCCACUUGCAAAGUGUGGUAUGGUAAGAGAUCAUGGACAAAGAGGAAGAAGAAGAAUUGGAAGAGCCAGUGCCUGAACAGGAGGAGUUCCAUGCAGUUUGACCAUUUGUUAGCCUUUGUUCCUGGAGGACAUGGUUGACAUUCCUUGCAUGUCUUCUUCUACUUUGUUCUUUUAUUGUUUCAUUGUUUCCAUUAAAAAUUACAGACCACUUCAUAUUGUAUAAAACACCUAUUUUUGAAGCACAAAUGUCAAAGUUCUUGGCUGCAGAAAUCAAAAGUACAGUUUCAUGAAAGUCGAAUUUAUGAAGAAAUGGUGAAAAUUAGUGGUGCAGUCUAUCAUUCUGGACAUCAACAACCAAGGCUAGUCAGUCUCUUGAAACUCUCCUCAUCAAAUUCUUUCUUCUUCUUCUUUAUUUGUAUCUUGUUCCAUUCUAUUGCAUCUUGGGGUGUAAAUUACAGGUGUUCUCAUUGUUGAGGAUGUAAUUUUCAUCAUCAAGGAAACUACUUACUGAAUGACAUUUUGAAGUAGUCAAAAGGUUCCAUAUUUCAUGUCAUGAUGUCCUAACAGCUUUGUGAACAUUAGAUUAAUCUUUAUCAUUCUGGUUAACUGUAUAUGGAAAAUUAUGCAGAAAAAAUAUCUUGGACUGUCUUUUUAGGCUCUGGGUAAAGGAUGAUGCCAAAUGGAAAGAAAGAACAGGGAUGUGAACCAUUAUUAUAUGGGUAAUUCCAAGAGAAAGGAAUGGAAGAAAUUUUGCUAGUGCAAAUGUGAAUUUUAUUGCUGUGGUUUCUAAUAAAGAUUUAUCUUCAUUCUUGAAAAGCUGCAGGAGAUUAGAGAAGAGAUCCAAGGUGCAGUCUUUUUCUCUCUCUGUGGAGCUGAAUCAGGUGAUGCUGAGAGGGUGUGGUUUAAAGUCCACUGCAAGAUGUGAUCAGUUGGAAACACAAUCUUCACGGAAGAGGAAAGAAGUAAAAUUGAUCAACCCCUUCAAGUCAGCAUGUAAUCAAAUCUUCAAUUUAGACAUGAUUUUUUUUUUAUUUUUUAAUAAAAUUUGAAAAAUAAUUAUUCAAUGUU